RNAcentral lists this long non-coding RNA (638 nucleotides) under Lathyrus oleraceus (garden pea). RNAcentral describes it as "Pisum sativum (pea) long non-coding RNA (PSAT_LNC021555)". The record is from RNAcentral. Lineage: Eukaryota; Viridiplantae; Streptophyta; Magnoliopsida; Fabales; Fabaceae.
CUCAGGGUCCAUUAUUUUUGAUUAAGACUCAGGUUGAGAGACAUCCAGAUGUCAUUGUUGAUAAAAUUUUAUCUGUCUCGAUGAAACCGGAAUCAAAGGACAGAUAUUCCUGGUACGGGUAGACAUUGCAUGUGUGAGUCAUACUAACCCAUUUGCUGUUUUGUAGGUGUCAUCCGGUGCGCAUAGCCCGUCUGUUCAAAUUUCCUGCUAGGGACAACAAAUCCAAACUGAUGGAUCCACUCAACACCGGUAAAGGCAGACAUGUUCGGGAUUGGUUAUCCAGAUCAAGAGUCGUCUAGACCAAACAGAGGACGUCGUCCACCGUACAUCUUUGUCAGUGCGGGAAUGCUGAAUUCUGAUCAGGCUUGUUCAGUGAGUGAAGAGAUCGACCGCGACCGCGAGCUAGAGCUGUGGAUAAAGUCGUGCGUACCAGGCAAUUGGAAAGCCUCCAAAAGCAUCAUUGUCGCUCAUCCGGAAGAGUAGUUUUCCUGUGUUAAUUUUGUUUGCAUGAAAGCCGUACGUUUUGCCCGAAACGUAAUGGUCCAUUGUAAGGGCCAUCUCAUGUGUUUCAUUUUGCAACAUUUUGCAUCAGUAAUAAAUGGAUGUUUUUGUGAUCAAAAGCGGUGUUCCCUGUUUUU